GCCAUUCUGUCUUACCGUCGCGCUCGCUUUCAGAAAUUUUUCUUUAGUGUAGAGCAUGGAUAGCCAGGCUAGCGGAAUAAAAGGGCGUGGUGUGUUAUGGUGCCAUGAAGAGAUCCUGGAUCUCUUGGACAUAUGGGGAGAGAAGAAGGUCCAGGAGCAGCUUCGGAAAAGUCAUCGAAAUAUUGACCUUUUCGGUGUAGUGGCGGCCGAUCUGAAGGUCAGAGGACACAACAGGUCCGCUGAGGAAUGUCGGCGUAAAACCAAGAAUAUGCGGCAGGAAUACCGGAAGGUCAUUAAUCAUAAUGCUCGGUCCGGUAAUAACCGUGUCCGGUGCCCCUAUUAUGACGAGCUACAUGCCAUUCUUCCUGGGGAUGCCUCAGUAGCACCGAAAAGACUGGUAUCCAGUUUGUCCGUCGUACGGGAGGUUCCACGUACCAACGCUACUGUCGCUUCCUACUCGGCGUCUCCUUCCAGCCCCGAACUUUUCAAUAGCUCAUUCGCAACCAUAGAUCUGGAUACCUACCUGACCGAAGACUCUGGUGCUGUGGCUACUGAAGCAGGGCUUUCACGUGUACACGAGGACGAGGAUACUUGUGUGGCGGAACUCCAGGGAAUCCUUGGUGCGUUCAAGACGUUCUGUACGGUUCCCCGUAAAAAUCAUUAUUAUGUUAAACCUUCCGUAUACAGAGCCUAUUGUUUCCCAUUGUAGAUGAAGACGAUACCGCCAGCGGCCAGUCAGAGAGCAGACGAGAACACAUUCCCCGGACCUCAUCCUCCAUUCCGGAAGCCAGGGAGGACAAUUUAUCGGUGUCAUCCAUGACAUCAACAGGCAGCUCAGGUAACGAAGCCAGCAGUAACAGCAUUGUGGGCAGACUCCUGCUCCCGGUCUACCGUUGACAGCAGCAAGCGCCCCACC
Molecule: long non-coding RNA, 916 nt
Filed under: Salvator merianae (Argentine black and white tegu)
Lineage: Eukaryota; Metazoa; Chordata; Lepidosauria; Squamata; Teiidae
Description: lncRNA (ENSSMRG00000004226.1)
Source: RNAcentral